GACGAACGCUGGCAGCGUGCUUAACACAUGCAAGUCGUACGGUAAGGCCCUUUCGGGGGUACACGAGUGGCGAACGGGUGAGUAACACGUGAGUAACCUGCCCACAACUUUGGGAUAACGCUAGGAAACUGGUGCUAAUACUGGAUAUGUGCUCCUGCUGCAUGGUGGGGGUUGGAAAGCUCCGGCGGUUGUGGAUGGACUCGCGGCCUAUCAGCUUGUUGGUGGGGUAGUGGCCUACCAAGGCGGCGACGGGUAGCCGGCCUGAGAGGGUGACCGGCCACAUUGGGACUGAGAUACGGCCCAGACUCCUACGGGAGGCAGCAGUGGGGAAUAUUGCACAAUGGGCGCAAGCCUGAUGCAGCAACGCCGCGUGCGGGAUGACGGCCUUCGGGUUGGAAACCGCUUUCAGCAGGGACGAAGCUUUUUGUGACGGUACCUGCAGAAGAAGCACCGGCUAACUACGUG
Molecule: ribosomal RNA, 465 nt
Filed under: uncultured bacterium
Lineage: Bacteria
Description: partial 16S ribosomal RNA
Rfam family: Bacterial small subunit ribosomal RNA
Source: RNAcentral